RNAcentral lists this ribosomal RNA (600 nucleotides) under Pseudomonas putida. Its description in RNAcentral is "bacterial SSU rRNA". It matches the Rfam family "Bacterial small subunit ribosomal RNA", at positions 73 to 669 of the family's 1533-position model. The record is from RNAcentral. Lineage: Bacteria; Pseudomonadati; Pseudomonadota; Gammaproteobacteria; Pseudomonadales; Pseudomonadaceae.
CGGGAGCUUGCUCCUUGAUUCAGCGGCGGACGGGUGAGUAAUGCCUAGGAAUCUGCCUGGUAGUGGGGGACAACGUUUCGAAAGGAACGCUAAUACCGCAUACGUCCUACGGGAGAAAGCAGGGGACCUUCGGGCCUUGCGCUAUCAGAUGAGCCUAGGUCGGAUUAGCUUGUUGGUGAGGUAAUGGCUCACCAAGGCGACGAUCCGUAACUGGUCUGAGAGGAUGAUCAGUCACACUGGAACUGAGACACGGUCCAGACUCCUACGGGAGGCAGCAGUGGGGAAUAUUGGACAAUGGGCGAAAGCCUGAUCCAGCCAUGCCGCGUGUGUGAAGAAGGUCUUCGGAUUGUAAAGCACUUUAAGUUGGGAGGAAGGGCAGUAAGUUAAUACCUUGCUGUUUUGACGUUACCGACAGAAUAAGCACCGGCUAACUCUGUGCCAGCAGCCGCGGUAAUACAGAGGGUGCAAGCGUUAAUCGGAAUUACUGGGCGUAAAGCGCGCGUAGGUGGUUUGUUAAGUUGGAUGUGAAAGCCCCGGGCUCAACCUGGGAACUGCAUCCAAAACUGGCAAGCUAGAGUACGGUAGAGGGUGGUGGAAUUU